RNAcentral lists this transfer RNA (89 nucleotides) under Lactiplantibacillus plantarum. Its description in RNAcentral is "tRNA-OTHER". It matches the Rfam family "tRNA". From Rfam's summary of the family: Transfer RNA (tRNA) molecules are approximately 80 nucleotides in length. Their secondary structure includes four short double-helical elements and three loops (D, anti-codon, and T loops). Further hydrogen bonds mediate the characteristic L-shaped molecular structure. tRNAs have two regions of fundamental functional importance: the anti-codon, which is responsible for specific mRNA codon recognition, and the 3' end, to which the tRNAs corresponding amino acid is attached (by aminoacyl-tRNA synthetases). tRNAs cope with the degeneracy of the genetic code in two manners: having more than one tRNA (with a specific anti-codon) for a particular amino acid; and 'wobble' base-pairing, i.e. permitting non-standard base-pairing at the 3rd anti-codon position. Lineage: Bacteria; Bacillati; Bacillota; Bacilli; Lactobacillales; Lactobacillaceae. The record is from RNAcentral.
GCGAGCGUAGUUCAACGGUAGAACACUAACUUAGACUCUUCCCUUGAAACAAAACUGCUAAAAUGCAGGUCCGACUCCUGCCGCUCGCG